GAGCGGGCACUUUCGGGUGUCAGCGGCAGACGGGUGAGUAACACGUGGGAACGUACCCUUUGGUUCGGAAUAACGCUGGGAAACUAGCGCUAAUACCGGAUACGCCCUUUUGGGGAAAGGCUUGCUGCCGAAGGAUCGGCCCGCGUAUGAUUAGCUAGUUGGUGGGGUAAUGGCCUACCAAGGCGACGAUCAGUAGCUGGUCUGAGAGGAUGAUCAGCCACACUGGGACUGAGACACGGCCCAGACUCCUACGGGAGGCAGCAGUGGGGAAUAUUGGACAAUGGGCGCAAGCCUGAUCCAGCCAUGCCGCGUGAGUGAUGAAGGCCUUAGGGUUGUAAAGCUCUUUUGUCCGGGACGAUAAUGACGGUACCGGAAGAAUAAGCCCCGGCUAACUUCGUG
Molecule: ribosomal RNA, 399 nt
Filed under: uncultured bacterium
Lineage: Bacteria
Description: bacterial SSU rRNA
Rfam family: Bacterial small subunit ribosomal RNA
Source: RNAcentral